This is a long non-coding RNA of Thunnus maccoyii (southern bluefin tuna), 218 nucleotides long. RefSeq lists it as uncharacterized. The record is from RefSeq and is a predicted model, not a curated record. NCBI's taxonomy places the organism in Eukaryota, Metazoa, Chordata, Actinopteri, Scombriformes, Scombridae. The transcript has 2 exons.
GUCUGAGCAAUAGACAAUGGGGUAUCCACGGUGGCCCUGGGCGUUACCCAACAGGAAGUUACUGUCUGCAAAGGGUGACAUGAGAAGGUGCUGAUAUUGUGAUGUGCCUGCUUUGGGAGUAAAGCUGUGGAUGGUAAAAUGCAAUAUACCAACAUGACCUGAUGAAGAUCCAUAAGGGCCAUACAUCUAAAUGCGAAUUUAAAGUGGUGGAAUAUGAA